ACCUCAUUGGAGGUAUGUGGAUAGUUUCUUCUCUAUUCAGCAGUAGGAAGGAGGAGAUCUCGAAAAAUAUAUGGCUCAUUUCAACGCAGCCACCGUAGAAGUGAAAAAUUUUAAUGAAUCAGUUGUCAUGUCUGUUUUGAAAAGAAAACUUCGGAGCAACUGUUUGAUUUUUUUCUGAAUAAUUUUUUUUUAAAUAAUUAUGAUGAGAUGCUCAAUAGGAUACAUAAAUAUGCUCAGGCCGAAGAAGAAGAGGCUAUCUUAAAAUAGGUGAAGAAGGAUAAGAAUGGAAAGAAACGGUCAAGAGAGAGUGAUGAUCGGAUUGAGAAUUUAAAUCAACCUCGAAAAAAAUUGAGGUCAAGGAGCCCACCUCGGCAUUUUAAUUCAUAUAUCUCUCUGUUCACUCUUCGAGCUCAAAUUUUGAUGGAAAUUGAAGGAGAGAGAUAUCUUUGAAGAUCUAAUUUUUUAAGGGCCCCAUUAGAGAAAAGAGACAAACGAAAGUAUUGUCGCUUCCAUAG
RNAcentral lists this long non-coding RNA (515 nucleotides) under Elaeis guineensis (African oil palm). RNAcentral's name for it is "long non-coding RNA (EGUI_LNC073595)". Lineage: Eukaryota; Viridiplantae; Streptophyta; Magnoliopsida; Arecales; Arecaceae. The record is from RNAcentral.